This 492-nucleotide long non-coding RNA is filed under the name Mytilus galloprovincialis (Mediterranean mussel). Lineage: Eukaryota; Metazoa; Mollusca; Bivalvia; Mytilida; Mytilidae. The record is from RNAcentral.
GAAGGUUACAAUUUCGCAUAACGUUGUUGAAGUGUCUGCUUUAACCGGUCGUUCAUUCAAUUUGAAAAAAAGCUGCACCGACCAUCAAGAUAUGCCUUUCGAGUUUUUCUGUACAGAUCAUGAUUGCUUACUAGGCCGAUCAUGUAACUAUGGCUGAUACUCAUCGUACUUGUUCAAAGAUUCUACCAUUUGAUGUCGCGGCGAAAGGGAAUAAAGUCUUCAGUCAUGUUUGAGGAUAUUUGUAAAGAUAUUGCCGCUUUACGGAAGUCGAUAAAGGAGUUAGUAGAAGAUAGAGAGAAGAACAAGAAACACGUAGGAAGGACCAAAGAUUUGACACUACAAAAGAUAACACAGUUCAGAAAAGAUAUUAAUAAACCUCUCGACAAAUGAAAAGAGAAACUAUCCUCUGAUGUUUAUAUAAAAGCGAGAGAACUUGAUGAAAAAGCGUCCAUAGGGCUAUCUGAGGCAGUAACUAGAGAAAAAAUUAUAGAA